UACAGAGGUCCCAAGCGUUGUUCGGAUUCAUUGGGCGUAAAGGGUGCGUAGGCGGCGCGGUAAGUCGGGUGUGAAAUCUCGGAGCUUAACUCCGAAACUGCAUUCGAUACUGCCGUGCUUGAGGACUGGAGAGGAGACUGGAAUUUACGGCGUAGCGGUGAAAUGCGUAGAUAUCGUAAGGAAGACCAGUGGCGAAGGCGGGUCUCUGGACAGUUCCUGACGCUGAGGCACGAAGGCCAGGGGAGCAAACGGG
RNAcentral lists this ribosomal RNA (253 nucleotides) under uncultured bacterium. RNAcentral's name for it is "partial 16S ribosomal RNA". It matches the Rfam family "Bacterial small subunit ribosomal RNA", at positions 524 to 776 of the family's 1533-position model. The record is from RNAcentral.